Molecule: unclassified non-coding RNA, 219 nt
Filed under: uncultured Microbotryomycetes
Lineage: Eukaryota; Fungi; Basidiomycota; Microbotryomycetes
Description: sequence contains ITS2
Source: RNAcentral
AUUCUUCAACCCUUUCUUUUCUAUAAUGGAUCGAGAGGUGUUUGGAUUCUGAGCGUUGCAGUGCGCAAGCAGUUGCUCGCUCGUAAUACAUUAGCGAAUCUAAUGUUCAAUUGGAUUGACUUGGCGUAAUAGACUAUUCGCUGAGGAUUCACUACUUGUUAGUGAGCCAACUGAAGACCUGACUUGCUCCUAAUCAGACUUUCUCAGUCAACUUUUAAG